RNAcentral lists this ribosomal RNA (522 nucleotides) under uncultured bacterium. Its description in RNAcentral is "bacterial SSU rRNA". It matches the Rfam family "Bacterial small subunit ribosomal RNA", at positions 17 to 526 of the family's 1533-position model. The record is from RNAcentral.
UCCUGGCUCAGGAUGAACGCUAGCGACAGGCUUAACACAUGCAAGUCGAGGGGCAGCGGAGGCAGUAGCAAUACUGCCUGCCGGCGACCGGCGCACGGGUGAGUAACACGUAUGCAACCUACCCUUGUCAGGGGGAUAAGCCGGAGAAAUCCGGUCUAAUACCGCGUGACAUCGGGAUUCCGCAUGGGAUUCCGAUCAAAGGAGCAAUCCGGACAAGGAUGGGCAUGCGGCGCAUUAGCUAGUUGGCGGGGUAACGGCCCACCAAGGCGACGAUGCGUAGGGGUUCUGAGAGGAAGGCCCCCCACACUGGUACUGAGACACGGACCAGACUCCUACGGGAGGCAGCAGUGAGGAAUAUUGGUCAAUGGGCGCGAGCCUGAACCAGCCAAGUCGCGUGAGGGAAUAAGGUCCUAUGGAUUGUAAACCUCUUUUGUCGGGGAGCAAUGAGCGUCACGCGUGAUGCGUUGAGAGUACCCGAAGAAAAAGCAUCGGCUAACUCCGUGCCAGCAGCCGCGGUAAUAC